This 794-nucleotide ribosomal RNA is filed under the name uncultured bacterium. RNAcentral describes it as "bacterial SSU rRNA". It matches the Rfam family "Bacterial small subunit ribosomal RNA", at positions 8 to 796 of the family's 1533-position model. The record is from RNAcentral.
AGAGUUUGAUCCUGGCUCAGGAUGAACGCUAGCGGGAGGCCUAACACAUGCAAGUCGAACGGGAUUGAGAGCUUGCUCUCAUGAGAGUGGCGCACGGGUGAGUAACGCGUAUGCAACCUACCUAUAACUGAGGGAUAGCCCAUAGAAAUGUGGAUUAAUACCUCAUAGUUCUUUUAGUCCGCAUGGACUGAAAGAUAAAGCUCCGGCGGUUAUAGAUGGGCAUGCGUGACAUUAGCUAGUUGGUAAGGUAACGGCUUACCAAGGCUACGAUGUCUAGGGGUUCUGAGAGGAUGAUCCCCCACACUGGUACUGAGACACGGCCCAAACUCCUACGGGAGGCAGCAGUAGGGAAUCUUCCGCAAUGGACGAAAGUCUGACGGAGCAACGCCGCGUGAGUGAAGAAGGUUUUCGGAUCGUAAAACUCUGUUGUCAGAGAAGAACAAGUCGGAGAGUAACUGCUCCGGCCUUGACGGUAUCUGACCAGAAAGCCACGGCUAACUACGUGCCAGCAGCCGCGGUAAUACGUAGGUGGCAAGCGUUGUCCGGAUUUAUUGGGCGUAAAGCGAGCGCAGGCGGUUCCUUAAGUCUGAUGUGAAAGCCCACGGCUCAACCGUGGAAGGUCAUUGGAAACUGGGGAACUUGAGUGCAGAAGAGGAGAGUGGAAUUCCAUGUGUAGCGGUGAAAUGCGUAGAUAUAUGGAGGAACACCAGUGGCGAAGGCGACUCUCUGGUCUGUAACUGACGCUGAGGCUCGAAAGCGUGGGGAGCAAACAGGAUUAGAUACCCUGGUAGUCC